CUAAGGUCCCAAAGUGCGUGUUAAGUGGAAAAGGAUGUGGGAUUUCGAAGACAACCAGGAUGUUGGCUCAGAAGCAGCCACACAUUCAAAGAGUGCGUAAUAGCUCACUGGUCGAGAGGUCCUGCGCCGAAAAUGUCCGGGGCUCAAACACGCCACCGAAGCCCAGGAAUGCAGUAAUGCAUUGGUAGAGGAGCAUUGUUAGUGCAUCGAAGCUGUACCGGCAAGGAGCAGUGGAGCGCUAAGAAGAGAGAAUGCCGGAAUGAGUAGCGAGAAAGAGGUGGGAAUCCUCUUGGCCGAAUAUCCAAGGAUUCCGGGGUAAAGCUGAUCUGCCCCGGGUAAGUCGGGACCUAAGGCGAGGCAGAAAUGCGUAGCCGAUGGACAGCAGGUGGAGAUUCCUGCACUGCCAUAUAUCAGAAAUGUGGGGACGCAUCAGGAAAGUGUGAGCCGGGAAAGGAAAGACCGGUGCAAGCGAAGGAAGGGACAUGCAGGCAAAACCGCAUGUCAACCGGAGAGCGUUACGCGGAGCGAAGAAUAGUAGCGAAGCACACGGACAGGGUGCCGAGAAAAGCCGCUAUCGUGUAUAUGGUACCCGUACCGUAAACCGACACAGGUGGAUGAGGAGAGAAUCCUAAGGCCGGCGGGAGAAGCAUUGUUAAGGAACUCGGCAAAAUGACCCCGUAACUUCGGGAGAAGGGGUGCCCUGUGAAAGCAGGGCCGCAGAGAAUAGGCUCAAGCAACUGUUUAGCAAAAACACAGGUCUAUGCGAAACCGAAAGGUGAGGUAUAUGGGCUGACGCCUGCCCGGUGCUGGAAGGUUAAGAGGAGAGGUUAGCGCAAGCGAAGCUUUGAAUUUAAGCCCCAGUAAACGGCGGCCGUAACUAUAACGGUCCUAAGGUAGCGAAAUUCCUUGUCGGGUAAGUUCCGACCCGCACGAAAGGCGUAAUGAUUUGAGCGCUGUCUCGACAAUGCAUCCGGUGAAAUUGAAGUACCAGUGAAGAUGCUGGUUACCCGCGCCAGGACGGAAAGACCCCAUGGAGCUUUACUCCAGUUUGGUACUGGGAUUCGGUACUGCACGUACAGGAUAGGUGGGAGACUAAGAAACUUGAACGCCAGUUUGAGUGGAGUCGCUGUUGGGAUACCACCCCUGCAGUAUUGGAUUUCUAACCAGUCACCGUGAUCCGGUGAUGGGACAAUGCCAGGCGGGGAGUUUGACUGGGGCGGUCGCCUCCGAAAGGGUAUCGGAGGCGCUCAAAGGUUCCCUCAGAAUGGUUGGAAACCAUUCGAAGAGUGCAAAGGCAGAAGGGAGCUUGACUGCGACACCGACGGGUGGAGCAGGUACGAAAGUAGGACUUAGUGAUCCGGUGGUAUUAAGUGGGAAUGCCAUCGCUCAACGGAUAAAAGCUACCCUGGGGAUAACAGGCUUAUCACUCCCAAGAGUUCACAUCGACGGAGUGGUUUGGCACCUCGAUGUCGGCUCAUCGCAUCCUGGGGCUGUAGCAGGUCCCAAGGGUUGGGCUGUUCGCCCAUUAAAGCGGUACGCGAGCUGGGUUCAGAACGUCGUGAGACAGUUCGGUCCCUAUCCGGCGCGGGCGGAGGAUAUUUGAGAGGAGCUGUCCUUAGUACGAGAGGACCGGGAUGGACGGACCACUGGUGUAUCUGUUGGCUGUCAGAGCCAUGGCAGAGUAGCCAAGUCCGGCAGGGAUAAACGCUGAAGGCAUCUAAGCGUGAAGCCCCCCUCAAGAUGAGAUAUCCCAUUCGAAAGAAGUAAGACCCCUUGAAGACGACGAGGUUGAUAGGGCAGGGGUGGAAGUGCCGUAAGGCAUGGAGCUGACUGCUACUAAUCGGUCGAGGGCUUGACCAA
RNAcentral lists this ribosomal RNA (1860 nucleotides) under human gut metagenome. RNAcentral describes it as "bacterial LSU rRNA". It matches the Rfam family "Bacterial large subunit ribosomal RNA", at positions 1039 to 2925 of the family's 2925-position model. The record is from RNAcentral.